CCCGGCAUGUCAAAGCUGAGAACCUGAGGUCCCAGUCACCCGGCAUGUCAAAGCUGAGAACCUGAGGUCCCAGUCACCCGGCAUGUCAAAGCUGAGAACCUGAGGUCCCAGUCACCCGGCAUGUCAAAGCUGAGAAACUGAGGUCCCAGUCCCCCGGCAUGCCAAAGCUGAGAACCUGAGGUCCCAGUCACCCGGCAUGAGAAACUGAGGUCCCAGUCACCCAGCAUGUCAAAGCUGAGAACCUGAGGUCCCAGUCACCCGGCAUGCCAAAGCUAAGAAUCUGAGGUCCCAGUCACCCAGCAUGAGAAACUGAGGUCCCGGUCACCCGGCAUAUCAAAGCUGAGAAACUGAGGUUCCAGUCACCCGGCAUGACAAAGCUGAGAAACUGAGGUCCCAGUCACCCGGCAUGUCAAAGCUGAGAAACUGAGGUCCCAGUCACCCGGCACGAGAAACUGAGGUCCCGGUCACCCGGCAUGACAAAGCUGAGAAACUGAGGUCCCAGUCAC
Long non-coding RNA from Oncorhynchus tshawytscha (Chinook salmon), 506 nucleotides. Lineage: Eukaryota; Metazoa; Chordata; Actinopteri; Salmoniformes; Salmonidae. The record is from Ensembl.